AGUUUAGCGGGUAAGAAUGAUGCUCUUAAUCUGCAGAAAGGGAUUUCUGCCUAAACUU
RNAcentral lists this transfer RNA (58 nucleotides) under Cylisticus convexus. Its description in RNAcentral is "tRNA-Ile". The record is from RNAcentral. Lineage: Eukaryota; Metazoa; Arthropoda; Malacostraca; Isopoda; Cylisticidae.